CAAGGAGUAGUUUAAUUAGAAUUUCAGCUUUGGGUGCUGAAGGCGAAGCUUGGUGCUUUCUCCUUGA
Molecule: transfer RNA, 67 nt
Filed under: Chiroderma salvini (Salvin's big-eyed bat)
Lineage: Eukaryota; Metazoa; Chordata; Mammalia; Chiroptera; Phyllostomidae
Description: tRNA-Pro
Source: RNAcentral